Long non-coding RNA from Melospiza melodia melodia, 1376 nucleotides. RefSeq lists it as uncharacterized. NCBI's taxonomy places the organism in Eukaryota, Metazoa, Chordata, Aves, Passeriformes, Passerellidae. The transcript is spliced from 3 exons. The record is from RefSeq and is a predicted model, not a curated record.
GUGACCCAUGGGACUUGGACUUGACUGCAGUCUGCUGAGGACCAGCAGCACAACAGGAGACUGAUUCUCCAAUUACUGAAGAAUCUGUCCUCGAGAUUUUUGCAACACACAGUGUCACUGUGAAGAACCAAGAACACUGCAAGCAUCAGGGUCCCUUCCAAGGCAAAGCCAAGGCCCAAAGUCACAUCAAGAACAGUAUGGAGGAGACAGAGGAAGAAAACAUGGUGUUGGAGAAAGCCAGGACUGCAUUAAAGCCAAAAUCUUGGUUUGGCAUCCUGAGAUGGGACCAGCUCUGUAGUCACACCUACAAGCUGUGGACUCUCCUGCUGUCACAGAGCCUUCAGAACUGAUGAAGGUGGUGGAUUUUUCAACUCCAGCCUUGGCUUAGCCUGGCAGGGAACCAGACUGUGGAGAUGCUCUGUCAGGAUACACAUGAGAAACAUGAGUUGAAGACACCAAAAAGGAGAAAAAAUGCACCAAGAUCCCUAUCUCUAGUACCACUUACAGACCAAUACUGCUUCUGAACCCAAGCCAUGAGUGAAGCUGGUAUGGGAGAAGCAGCACUGUUAGAGGAAGGAAUUCUAGCAAUAUCACCUUCCGGUAAGACCUGUGGUAUCCAUCUAGCUGGAGCUCCCAUCUGUCAGCUGUUACUUUCUUUUGUUUUUAACACAUACCACAUUUUGUAAAGUUUUAUCAAAUUAAUCUUCCACCAAAAAAAGCAUUUAUCAUCACAGCUUGGCUGGGUUUUGUUCAUUUUUCAGAGGUUCUGAGAGGAGAUGGAGAGCAGCACAAGGUUGUGCAAUCCUUGAGGCAAAUUUAAAUAAUUCUGCCCUCCUUCUUGCUAAGCUGUCCCCUGAAUGACUGUGUCAGGUAUAAUGGUGUAAUAGUUGUUUUUUUUCCACCACAUGACUUCUUACAUCACACCUCACAUGUGGUUACAGAGGUCACUUUUGGAAGAUUCUCUGGCUCCUGACAUGGAUUCAGUAUUCUGAGUUAGGACACUUGAUGCUACAGUACACAAACCAUCAUGUUUGAAACAGCCAUUUGCUGUAAAUAUGUGGUGUUACUGAGACAGGAUUAUAAUCCUUUCAGGCCCUCAGUGAGCACUCAGCCUUCUGGAACCAAAAGCUGAAGUAAUAUUGGCAGAGGUCAUGCUUCAAGUACACUAAUUAUGUCUUGAGAAUGAAGAUGUGAAUGAGAAUGACCUGCCAUGAAAUCCCCAGCUACCUUACUAAUUAAGGUAGCAAAGUAUUUAAGUCUUUAUUGUUUAGAACUUGUUUGCUUAAUUAUUAAUUAGAAAAUUCAGGCUUUUUGUCUAAGAUACUCCCAGGUGACAAAGCAUGGUUCUGGCUGUCCUCAGCAGCAGUAAGGCCAGC